GAAACUCUCAAAUAAAGGUGGCUUUGUAGCUGUCUCUGUUUGGAUUUGGACUCUGCUGCAUUAAUGUGGCUAGUCUUAAAUAUAUUAGCUGGUCCUCAUUGAGGUUUGGUUCUACUCGGCGUGAUAAUUAUCUAACGUUGAGGACAGUCUCUCAGGACUGGCCAUGACUCUCUCUGGAUUGCUUCUAAAGGAAAAUUGUCUUGAAGGGACAAUCACUCAAU
RNAcentral lists this unclassified non-coding RNA (221 nucleotides) under uncultured Hydnum. Its description in RNAcentral is "sequence contains ITS2". Lineage: Eukaryota; Fungi; Basidiomycota; Agaricomycetes; Cantharellales; Hydnaceae. The record is from RNAcentral.